AUACGUAGGGGACGAGCGUUGUCCGGAAUUACUGGGCGUAAAGGGCGCGCAGGCGGAUAUUUAAGUCAGCUGUAAAAGGCAUGAGCUCAACUCAUGUAUGCGGUUGAAACUGGGUAUCUAGAGUACUGGAGAGGUAGGCGGAAUUACCGGUGUAGCGGUGAAAUGCGUAGAUAUCGGGAAGAACACCAGUGGCGAAGGCGGCUUACUGGCCAGCAACUGACGCUGAGGCGCGAAAGCCAGGGGAGCGAACGGGAUUAGAUACCCCGGUAGUCCUGGCCGUAAACGAUGAAUGCUAGGUGUGGGUGUCGAGAGGCAUCCGUGCCGGAGUUAACGCGAUAAGCAUUCCGCCUGGGGAGUACGAUCGCAAGAUUGAAACUCAAAUGAAUUGACGGGG
Molecule: ribosomal RNA, 394 nt
Filed under: uncultured bacterium
Lineage: Bacteria
Description: partial 16S ribosomal RNA
Rfam family: Bacterial small subunit ribosomal RNA
Source: RNAcentral